GAUGAAGAACGCAGCGAAAUGCGAUAAGUAAUGUGAAUUGCAGAAUUCAGUGAAUCAUCGAAUCUUUGAACGCACAUUGCGCCCGCCAGUAUUCUGGCGGGCAUGCCUGUUCGAGCAUCAUUUCAACCAUCAAGCCCCCGGCUUGUGUUGGGGACCUGCGGCUGCCGCAGGCCCUGAAAACCAGUGGCGGGCUCGCUAGUCACUCCGAGCGUAGUAGUUACAUCUCGCUCAGGGCGUGCUGCGGGUUCCGGCCGUUAAAAGCCUUAUUUACCCAAGGUUGACCUCGGAUCAGGUAGGAAGACCCGCUGAACUUAAGCAUAUCAAUAAGCGGAGGA
Molecule: unclassified non-coding RNA, 335 nt
Filed under: soil metagenome
Description: partial contains 5.8S ribosomal RNA, internal transcribed spacer 2, and large subunit ribosomal RNA
Rfam family: 5.8S ribosomal RNA (bases 1-120)
Source: RNAcentral